This 70-nucleotide transfer RNA is filed under the name Hypolimnas bolina (common eggfly). Its description in RNAcentral is "tRNA-Glu". The record is from RNAcentral. Lineage: Eukaryota; Metazoa; Arthropoda; Insecta; Lepidoptera; Nymphalidae.
AUUUAUAUAGUUUAGAAAAAACACUACAUUUUCAUUGUAAAAAUAAAGAUAAAUAAUACUUUUAUAAAUA